This 256-nucleotide ribosomal RNA is filed under the name uncultured bacterium. RNAcentral's name for it is "partial 16S ribosomal RNA". It matches the Rfam family "Bacterial small subunit ribosomal RNA", at positions 524 to 774 of the family's 1533-position model. The record is from RNAcentral.
UACGUAGGGUGCAAGCGUUGUCCGGAAUUAUUGGGCGUAAAGAGCUCGUAGGCGGUCUGUUGCGUCGGCUGUGAAAACCCGGGGCUCAACCCCGGGCCUGCAGCCGAUACGGGCAGACUAGAGUUCGGCAGGGGAGACUGGAAUUCCUGGUGUAGCGGUGGAAUGCGCAGAUAUCAGGAGGAACACCAAUGGCGAAGGCAGAUCUCGCUGGGCCGUAACUGACGCGUGAGGAAGCGGAAAGCAUGGGGAGCGAACA